Molecule: non-coding RNA, 2431 nt
Organism: Myodes glareolus (Bank vole)
Lineage: Eukaryota; Metazoa; Chordata; Mammalia; Rodentia; Cricetidae
Source: RefSeq, a predicted model, not a curated record
GGCUGGGACUCAGUACUCCACCCUUGUCAUUGGUUCUCUGGACCCAGGAACUGACCAGACAAACUCAGCCACAGCAAGGCUGCAGCAUUGCAGUUAGAGCCGACUCCAGUCCAGCAUGCGAACUAUUCAUCCCUCGGCUGCAGUUCAUGCGCACACCGCUUUACCAAAGUGGAAUUCCCUGUCUAGGUCCUGGGUGGACAGCGAUGGCGCCCGGGCACCAUUCAGCCCACUGCAGUGGGAAAUCGAGGUGUCUAGGAGACGCCAGACGGUGGAGGACUUGGGUACCUUCAUGCUCCACCCGAGCUACUAAAACGUUAAAACUUAAGAAGACUGUGAAUUGAGGAACCCAGGAUGGCGGACUGAUGAACCCAAAGUCGUCAAAACUACAGACUCAACAGCCUGGCUAAGCCCUAAGGAUCCUCGGGAGCCAGUCCAGCUCCUCACUUCUCUUAGAAGCAGGGAGGCUAUGUCCAUGGGCCCUAAGGCCUAGAUCCUAAUGUGGGCUUCCCUUCCUUUGGAAUGUUCUGGAAAGUACAGCAUGGCUACAGAGUCUUCACAGCCUUGGUUGGGUGGACUCUGAGGACAUUAUGAGAACUGAACCUUCCUCCUCCUUGUUCUAGAGCAUUCUUCCUGUUUCAGAGAUAUUGCCUUGGUCUGUGCUUUUCGAGGUGCUUCCCACAGCCCAAACCUGUGCCUGUACAAAGGUUAAACUGCCCAGAUGACCUCUGCCCCCCCCUUUAAAGUUACAUUGUGAGCAUUUCCCAUGCCAUUAGAUGUCCUCUCUAGCAUUAGAUGUGUCAGAGAUUGCUCAGUCCUUUUCUGUCACCUUGAGUCCACAAUUGUUAAAUGUCAUUCUGCAUCCUGUGGAGACUGGAUCACCACAGCACAGUGAUGUGGCCCAAGGGUCCUGCAGACUGAGGUCCACAGUCAGGGGCCUGGGUGGCCAGUACUAGGGAGAGCCUCUUCUGCCUGUGAAUGGCCGGUCGGUCCCCUUCCCAUGGUGGAGUUUCACUGGCAGAGGGUGGCACUGACCCCAUCAUGGGGACUCAUGUUCAUGCCCAUCUCUAUUGCAGGUACCUUCCAAUCUCUCCUCCCUAGCACCGUCCCAUCAGGGGUAGGCUCAGUGUUGAGAACACAGAUCAGUCCGCAGCAGGCAACACAGUCCUACUGUAUUUACUGUCUUUAUCAUGACUUCUGGAGAGAGGACACAGUGCUUCUGCUUAAAGCUUCUUGGUCAGAAUCGAGAUGCACAGACACACCUAGCCUGUAGGAACCAGGGGAUGUCCCCAGCUAAAAUUAGGAGACUACAUGACAAUACACUCAGAUACAAAGUCAGGACGCAGACCACGUUACGGCAGCACGGAACACUUUGAAUUCUUGCAUUCAGGCAUCUCCAACCUUUGACACCGAGACUCCAUGUCACCAUCUAUAAAGACUUAUAUUCAGGAGACACACAACUAAGUUAUUAUACAUACAUUUCAUUAUGUUUUAAGCAAGUGCAUCAUAUUGGAUUGGGCCCUAGUCAUAGCUACCCUUGGACACAGUAGCCCCGUGUGUCUUCGUUUAUAGAUCAUGCCUUGCGGCCCAAACUGACUGCUUGAGCAGCCGUCAUGGCUCUCGCAUUCCAGCCCAGAGAACCUUCUCCACUGGGUCAUGAUCUAGGGUGAGAAGUUCAGUCUCUCAUAUGAAUGCAGCUCAUCCAUCCAGACGCUGGGGUCCUUAUUACUGUCAGGGAAGGGUGGCAAAGGUUUUCACACUUUUGGCUAUCUCAAGGAUAUUGGACAUGGACACCAAUAGGGCACUCUCUUCUUUGGACAUUCACUGUCCAGAUCCCACCUCUGCUAAGUUAAUAUCACACGCCCCUAAAAGUCACAACUGUCCCGAUUCUUUCUGGUGUGUGAGCUGUCUCUCCAUUAAGCCAUCCACUUGAUGUUGGUUUGCUGAACACAUGUGAGUUGGGCUGAGUGAUUGGCUUGGGCAUCAGAGCCAGCGGCUACCACCUGCGCUCAGGGUAGCUGCCCUGUGAUGAUGCCAGCCCCUCCCUGUAUCUCUCUGAGUGCUGAGCUGUCUGAAUCUGAGCCCCUUCCUGGGGACCCUUGUCUGAAGGGUUGCAGGACUCUUUCUGACACGUUCUAAGUGCUAGAAGAACCUGGGGACAUUUUAGAGUCACUUAAUAGUCAAGAUCAGCCCAGAGGUGGGAGAUGUCCCUUUCCGUGCGGCACUGACCUUCAGCCUAGGCGGUGAUGCUAGGCUGCAAUCCUUGGCUGCACCUCUGUGGUCAGAGGCCUCUGACAGCUCUGCUUGUGCCUUUGCUUCCCGCUCCAAACCUCCCAGAUCAUCUCUCAGACGCAGCAGGCGUGAGAAGGAGGCUGCCUUUCUUCAGUCCCGAGCCUGGAUGGUGACUGGCGAGAGAUGACAUGGCAGUCCUGGA